UUCACAGUUCACACGAUCGAGAUGCUUCUUCACAGUUUGCGUUCCAGUUAUAGCAAAUUUCGUCUUUUUCCUUCCGGUGUGGCUUUAAAUGAGAACGAGUUCGAGAAGUCGAGAACCGUUGCAAACAUGGGACCGAGGAGCAUGGGACCGAGGAGCUCGUGGCUCGCUUAACUUAAAGCUAGGUUCAAAACUCCAAAACACAGAACCUUGUUAGGCCCAAAGCCCCAUGACUCCAUCACUAUGGUUUACAGGCCCAGGCGAAGACCCCAACAGUAGAAGCGAAGAUCCAUUGCAAUCGAGUUGUAACCCGGC
This 312-nucleotide unclassified non-coding RNA is filed under the name Hevea brasiliensis (rubber tree). The record is from RNAcentral. Lineage: Eukaryota; Viridiplantae; Streptophyta; Magnoliopsida; Malpighiales; Euphorbiaceae.